AAAUGUUUGAUUUCACAACCUAUAGCGUCGGCUAUAUAUUAGCCUAUAAAACAUGUAAUUUAAAAGACAUUAAUGGUCAUUAUAGCACAGUUCAAACAACAACAAUUAUAAACGAUUUUGCAGGAAUUGUAAUCAGGCGCUAAAAAUAAUACCCAUUAAUUGUUCGUUGAGCCAAUGGGAUCACUCUGGGUCCUGAGAAAUGACACCGGGACCGCGAUGCACGCUGGGAUUUGGAGUUUUCGGCUGAUUGUAUGCAAAACUCGCAUGCGGAAAGGUUUGAGCAUACACGUCUCGGAGAAUAUCAAUUAAAUAAUAAUUAUAUUACAAGUUAUGGUCCGAUGAGCACCGGCGCCAUGGAGAGUACAGGACACGUCUGGCCAUGUAGCAACUCCGGCUAGUGGAUUAGCACGCACGCGACCAAACACACAGACGGAUGAGAGAGAGGCUGGAGAGAUACAGGGAUACAGAUGAUGCUGAGGUCAGAUGCUCUCAAUCAGUAUACCUAUACAGAAUGCACAUAAAUGAAA
Long non-coding RNA from Carassius auratus (goldfish), 527 nucleotides. RefSeq lists it as uncharacterized. The transcript is spliced from 2 exons. NCBI's taxonomy places the organism in Eukaryota, Metazoa, Chordata, Actinopteri, Cypriniformes, Cyprinidae. The record is from RefSeq and is a predicted model, not a curated record.